This 270-nucleotide long non-coding RNA is filed under the name Physcomitrium patens. RNAcentral describes it as "long non-coding RNA (PPAT_LNC003272)". The record is from RNAcentral. Lineage: Eukaryota; Viridiplantae; Streptophyta; Bryopsida; Funariales; Funariaceae.
UUGAGAUUUGAUUAGGAUUUGGCAUAGGAUUAGAAUUUAGAAUUUAUUUAUGAUUUGAUUAGGAUUUAUCUAAGAUUUGAUUAAGAUUUGUUUAUAAUUUAGGAUUUCAUUAAGUUUUGAUUGGAAUUGGUUUAGGAUUUUAUUGGGAUUUUUUGAUGGUUGUACUAGGAUUUGAUUAGGAUUCAAUUAGAAUUUAUAUUUUUGAUAUUUCUUUAAUAUUUUUUUAUUAAAUAUAUUUUAUUAUGAUUUAAUUUAUAAUUUUUUAUAUUU